This 118-nucleotide ribosomal RNA is filed under the name Matthiola incana (common stock). Lineage: Eukaryota; Viridiplantae; Streptophyta; Magnoliopsida; Brassicales; Brassicaceae. The record is from RNAcentral.
GGGUGCGAUCAUACCAGCACUAAUGCACCGGAUCCCAUCAGAACUCCGCAGUUAAGCGUGCUUAGGCGAGAGUAGUACUAGGAUGGGUGACCUCCUGGGAAGUCCUCGUGUUGCACCC